Molecule: unclassified non-coding RNA, 404 nt
Filed under: soil metagenome
Description: partial contains 5.8S ribosomal RNA, internal transcribed spacer 2, and large subunit ribosomal RNA
Rfam family: 5.8S ribosomal RNA (bases 1-122)
Source: RNAcentral
GAUGAAGAACGCAGCAAAAUGCGAUACUUGGUGUGAAUUGCAGAAUCCCGUGAACCAUCGAGUUUUUGAACGCAAGUUGCGCCCGAAGCCUUUUGGUCGAGGGCACGUCUGCCUGGGCGUCACGCAUCGCGUCGCCCCCCACAAUUCUCCGUAAAGGGAACGUGUGUUUUGGGGGCGGAUAUUGGUCUCCCGUGCUCAUGGCGUGGUUGGCCGAAAUAGGAGUCCUUUCGAUGGACGCACGAACUAGUGGUGGUCGUAAAAACCCUCGUCUUUUGUUUCGUGCUGUUGCUCGCAAGGUAAACUCUUUAAAAACCCCAAUGUGUCGUCUCUUGACGACGCUUCGACCGCGACCCCAGGUCAGGCGGGACUACCCGCUGAGUUUAAGCAUAUCAAUAAGCGGAGGA